AGCAGCCGCGGUAAUUCCAGCUCCAAUAGCGUAUAUUAAAGUUGUUGCAGUUAAAAAGCUCGUAGUUGAAUUUCGGGAUCAGUUGGUCGGUCGUGCCUCGGUACGUACUGGUCAAAUUGAUUCCUACCUUCUGACGAACCACGAUGUCAUUAAUUUGGUGUCGCGGGAAAUCAGGACUGUUACUUUGAAAAAAUUAGAGUGUUUAAAGCAGGCUCGCGCUUGAAUACAUUAGCAUGGAAUAAUGAAAUAGGACGUUUGAUUCUAUUUUGUUGGUUUCUAGGAUCGACGUAAUGAUUAAUAGGGAUAGUUGGGGGCAUUAGUAUUCAAUUGUCAGAGGUGAAAUUCUUGGAUUUAUUGAAGACUAACUACUGCGAAAGCAUUUGCCAAGGAUGUUUUCAUUAAUCAAGAACGAAAGUUAGGGGAUCGAAGACGAUCAGAUACCGUCGUAGUACUUAACCAUAAACUAUGCCGACUAGGGAUCGGAUGAUAGUUAAUUUUUAAUGUACUCAUUCGGCGCCUU
RNAcentral lists this unclassified non-coding RNA (520 nucleotides) under uncultured Glomus. RNAcentral's name for it is "SSU rRNA". It matches the Rfam family "Eukaryotic small subunit ribosomal RNA", at positions 569 to 1089 of the family's 1831-position model. Lineage: Eukaryota; Fungi; Glomeromycota; Glomeromycetes; Glomerales; Glomeraceae. The record is from RNAcentral.